This 283-nucleotide long non-coding RNA is filed under the name Lathyrus oleraceus (garden pea). Its description in RNAcentral is "Pisum sativum (pea) long non-coding RNA (PSAT_LNC000649)". The record is from RNAcentral. Lineage: Eukaryota; Viridiplantae; Streptophyta; Magnoliopsida; Fabales; Fabaceae.
UAUUUUUGUUCUUUUCUUUCACAUCAUAUUUACAAAACAGAUGUUUCUUUUCUAUAUUUUUAUUUUCAAUGCUUGCUCGGUUUUUCUUUUAUUUUUUUCAAGAGUUGUGGUACUUACCGAUUCUCCCCAACUUAUUUCUUACUCACCCUAAGUGAAUGCUCUUAACUUUUUACGGCAAAAGAACAAUAAUCAAGAUUUUCCGGGUUGUAAAAAAAAGAUUUUUGAAAUCUCGCUUUAUUUCAAGCUGAGAUUCAACUGUUUAAGCUCAAAGGGGUUAACAAAU